CGUUUGAUUCUAUUUUGUUGGUUUCUAGGAUCGACGUAAUGAUUAAUAGGGAUAGUUGGGGGCAUUAGUAUUCAAUUGUCAGAGGUGAAAUUCUUGGAUUUAUUGAAGACUAACUACUGCGAAAGCAUUUGCCAAGGAUGUUUUCAUUAAUCAAGAACGAAAGUUAGGGGAUCGAAGACGAUCAGAUACCGUCGUAGUCUUAACCAUAAACUAUGCCGACUAGGGAUCGGAUGAUGUUAAUUUUUUAAUGACUCAUUCGGCGCCUUACGGGAAACCAAAGUGUUUGGGUUCCGGGGGGAGUAUGGUCGCAAGGCUGAAACUUAAAGGAAUUGACGGAAGGGCACCACCAGGGGUGGAGCCUGCGGCUUAAUUUGACUCAACACGGGGAAACUCACCAGGUCCAGAA
This 406-nucleotide ribosomal RNA is filed under the name uncultured Glomeromycotina. Its description in RNAcentral is "SSU rRNA". It matches the Rfam family "Eukaryotic small subunit ribosomal RNA", at positions 827 to 1229 of the family's 1831-position model. Lineage: Eukaryota; Fungi; Glomeromycota. The record is from RNAcentral.